GAACAAGUGGGUACUCUGAGCCU
Molecule: non-coding RNA, 23 nt
Filed under: Cricetulus griseus (Chinese hamster)
Lineage: Eukaryota; Metazoa; Chordata; Mammalia; Rodentia; Cricetidae
Source: RNAcentral